GCGUGGGUGAAGAAGGUCUUCGGAUUGUAAAGCCCUUUCGGCGGGGACGAUGGUGACGGUACCCGCAGAAGAAGCCCCGGCCAACUUCGUGCCAGCAGCCGCGGUAAUACGAAGGGGGCUAGCGUUGCUCGGAAUCACUGGGCGUAAAGGGCGCGUAGGCGGCGCCUCUAGUCGGGCGUGAAAUCCCCGGGCUCAACCCGGGGGCUGCGCCCGAUACGGGGGCGCUGGAGGCAAGGAGAGGCUCGCGGAAUUCCCAGUGUAGAGGUGAAAUUCGU
RNAcentral lists this ribosomal RNA (275 nucleotides) under uncultured bacterium. Its description in RNAcentral is "partial 16S ribosomal RNA". It matches the Rfam family "Bacterial small subunit ribosomal RNA", at positions 399 to 691 of the family's 1533-position model. The record is from RNAcentral.